UACGUAGGGUGCAAGCGUUAAUCGGAAUUACUGGGCGUAAAGCGUGCGCAGGCGGUUUUGUAAGUCUGUCGUGAAAUCCCCGGGCUCAACCUGGGAAUUGCGAUGGAGACUGCAAGGCUAGAAUCUGGCAGAGGGGGGUAGAAUUCCACGUGUAGCAGUGAAAUGCGUAGAGAUGUGGAGGAACACCGAUGGCGAAGGCGGCAUCCUGGACCAACACUGACGCUGAGGAGCGAAAGCCAGGGGAGCAAACGGG
RNAcentral lists this ribosomal RNA (253 nucleotides) under uncultured bacterium. RNAcentral's name for it is "partial 16S ribosomal RNA". It matches the Rfam family "Bacterial small subunit ribosomal RNA", at positions 524 to 776 of the family's 1533-position model. The record is from RNAcentral.